This 253-nucleotide ribosomal RNA is filed under the name uncultured bacterium. RNAcentral's name for it is "partial 16S ribosomal RNA". It matches the Rfam family "Bacterial small subunit ribosomal RNA", at positions 524 to 776 of the family's 1533-position model. The record is from RNAcentral.
UACGAAGGGGGCUAGCGUUGUUCGGAAUUAUUGGGCGUAAAGAGCUCGUAGGCGGCUUGUCACGUCGGGUGUGAAAGCCCGGGGCUUAACCCCGGGUCUGCAUUCGAUACGGGCAGGCUAGAGUGUGGUAGGGGAGAUCGGAAUUCCUGGUGUAGCGGUGAAAUGCGCAGAUAUCAGGAGGAACACCGGUGGCGAAGGCGGAUCUCUGGGCCAUUACUGACGCUGAGGAGCGAAAGCGUGGGGAGCGAACAGG